AAACAUUAUUUAAGUAUUUAUCUCGACAAUCACAUUAUCUUGCCACUCGAAGAAGCAUUUUUACGUGCACACGCAAUAAAUUUUUAUCGAUUGCAUAUCUUGCACGUGUCUAUUCAAACGACACGAAAGGAAAAACUCAUUCAUCGUGUUUCUUUCAACUAGAACAAAAAAUAUAUGGAUGCAUGUAAAAUAAAUGUCCAUUGUGAUGUAGAGAUAUUCUGUCAUUCUUACACACAUACAUCGAUCGAUCGUUCUCACGUAUAAAUGACAGCGUCAUUCUUCCUGAACGUUGCCCUAUCUUAUCGACCUUAACUAAACCUCUAAAUUCUAAACACUUGGACGUUCAACUUCGGCGCAUUGCUAAUUGCAUUCCAAACAUUUGGUCCUAUCCUCGGGCAUAGAUGAUAGUGUCAUUCCUCCGAAAUUUUGCUUUAUCUCAUCGUUAUUUACUAUUUAAGUGCUUAAAACUUUGCCUUUCCUUUAAGUCCACGCUAAUUGCAUUCCAAAUAUGGACGUUCGAUCUGCAUAUCACCAGUUGAAGUUCGCUCUGUUGACUAACGUAACAUAAAUUACUACGAACUUGAAACAAAUCGUAUCGUAUACGUUACUAGAGCGCCGAUGUUUAUGUAUUUAUGGAAAAUUUAAAGGUUCGAGGAUACGCAGGCUACACAUAUUAUACAAACAUGUGUAAAAUAUUCAAACUAAAGUAAUAUUUAAUAAGCAAAGCAAAUCUUCGUUUAAAUUCUAUUUUACAAAUCUGCAUAAAUUUCUAUUGCUCGAAAAAAGAAAAAAAAAGGAAGAAAAAGAAAAAAGAAAAAAUGUGCAUAGUGCAUAUUCAUAGAAUCACUAUUUUGCAGAAGACGAAUGCAUUACGUACAUGGAGCAAAUGAAAUGUAAACAAAUUACUAUUCUUCCCAGCUAUAGCUUCCUUUAAAAACUUUCUACAGAAACAGAUUCUGCCUGCAGGUACGAUGAAAACGAACUAGCUCCGAGGAAAGUAAUUUUCUUCUACCUUCGUUCUUUUUCGAGUUGGUCGGAAUUUUCUCGUCCUAUGAAACUCAGCCUGUGAAACGUUUCAUCCGUUUUAUGAGAGGACCAAUGCGAUAUAAAGAGACUUAACGCAGGCGUUCGAUCAGGACACGCCAGAACGAGAAUCCGUGUCAGUUCCUCCAAAGAUAAAUCCAUGGAGAUAAGUUUCCCUUUGGAAAAUAUGAGCUUUUCCAUCCUCGAGAAAUCAGAUCUUAUAUCCACAACUUCUUGGAAGCAAACUAAAGAUUCAAAGUACAAGAAUAUCGACCCUUUGAUAACAACAUUAAUAAACGAGCUCGCGUUCCCGUGCUAAUAGAAAUUCUAAAAGUCUGCGCUUUUUAAAACAGACUACGACGAAACCAUCGUAGAAAUCUGCGAUACAAUUCGUACGAAACGAUUAUAUACGAUACAGUGAGUGUUUAAAGCUUUAGAAGCUUAAAGUUUGCCACUAAAUUCUUCUUAUUACCAUAAAAAGACAUAAUCAGGUUGCCAAUGUUUAUGAAUUUAUUUAAAUAUUCGAGAGUCAAAGCAGCAAAGCAGAAUAUACGUAGUGACAACAAAUCGAUCGAAUAUCUUAUAGAACGCGUUGACAAAUUUUUAUUAUUAGAUCGCGAAUAUUUAUGCAUUUAUGGAAGAUUUAAAGAUGCAAAUCUUUCGCGUAGUAUCAAAACAUCUAUAAAAUAUAUUAUAUACCCAUAAAAUAUACUGACAAAAUAUGGCUGUUACGUUCGGGACAUUGCGCGUAUAUGGAAAACUGGUGUCGAAAUUCCUGCAUACUAUACGAGACUGGUUCCAUCGGAAGUCCGAGCUACCUGCGAUAACAGACGGGUGGCUUGCGUAAGGCAGAAAAGGAUUUCGCGCUGGUUCGCAUCAACGCGAGUCGCGUAAUCGCAAUUAAUGCGACGCUCGCGGUAAUGGUCGUUCUCAUUAUCAUCGCGGUGUGUAUUGGAUAAUGCUCGAGCGUAUUCGAUGAUCCGGCGUGGACGUGAGAUCCGUGUAAACAGCCAGUGUUAAUUUUCGGUCUUCCAGAAUGGUGAAGGGAGAGAGGAGAUCGGUGCAUAUGUACAUUUGAAAUAUGAAGCGGGACGGUAGGCGGGACAAUCGAUGACGGUACUAUAAUUAAAGUAUCCUUCGAUAUUUCGCUCGAGAACGGACCAGAGUAACAUCACGUGUCGUCGAUGUCAAGGCGUCUUCGUCGAGCAGUGAACGGAACGAGGCGAUGUACACUACCGCUUCAAAGUAUCCGGAUACUUGCACGUUUCUACAAGAUAUAAUAAUAUGCAUAUUUAAUAGCUGAGUGGCCAUGUGUGUAUUGGCAAGCGCAUACUCUUAUUUUUCAAAGAAGCGUCGUUUUAUCACGUCGAAAAUACUGUCAAAUGAUAUACGAAGCUUGAUAAUACACUUGCGCUUAAUUAAAUACUAUAUAAACGUUAUAAGAAAUACAAUGGUGUGGAAAUAUGUUUGGUAGUCAGCGUAUAGACCAAGUGACUCCGUAGAAAACGUAAUAAGUACGGUAUUGUUUCUAUCGAUUAUUUCCUCGUUAACUGCUCGAUAAAAUUUAUGUACUGUUACUACGGACCAAAGUGUCGGAUACUUAUGAGCCAUAGUGUACGAAGGCAGAGGGGGAAAGAGCAAGACGGAACAACGGAGAGGAAGUUUAUAGUGCACAGCAAGAUAAAAACGAAGCGACCGUGAACGUGUACGAGGAAUUGCCGCGAGCGUCGCUUCUAAUAGCUUUGUGUUGGCCGUUUCAUUCGCAGAUCGCGCGAAAGCUGCGCUCUUAACAUUGGCCUGAUGGCAGGCGGAUUCACCUAACGUUAAUUUAGAAUCUAGAUGAAAUUCGGCAGGUAUUCAAGAAACUCGACAUCGUUAUUUAGAACAAUGUAAGAACGAAUAACCGCGAGUCAUCGGCCGGCGUAUGUCGCGUGUAUGCGCGAACGUAAACGACACGCGGUCGCCGUAAUACGAGAACGUAGAACGAGGUUGUCUCUUGGCAAAUCCUUAAUUAAUAAAAACGCUGCAUAUCGAGGAAAACAAUCGUGAACAAGCAUGAACGAUCGUGCUUGUUGUCGGUCUACGUGUUGUUAUAAAUAACCGUAACGUUCGAGGCAAAUUAUUAAUUAUAACACGUUAGCCAGUACACGAGCGGACGAGCGUGGCUAUCACGGUGCAAGGUUCAAGGGAAACCGCAUUCUUCGAACGGCAAAGGCGAAAAAACCUAUUAGUAAAUGAUAUACACGCACGUCCCGUUUCGUUUUGUUUCGUUUCGCAGGUUUUAGGCUAGUCGUUUGCGAAGAGAAAAGACCGGGGAACGCAGAAACAGAAAACUAAGAAACGAAACGAAACGGUGACGAUAGGACCUCGUGCAAUGAUACUUAUAUAACGCGAGUAAAAAUUGGCUACUAGCAUCGUGUAAUACCAUUUGCAACACAUCAAUGAGAGUGAAAUGUUUGUGAAUUCGUUAAGGAACGAGUAGUGAAAUACAUAAUGUGUGAAAGAAAAAUGAAGUAAGUUAUUUUGUACAAUGUGUAAAUGUAUUAAAAUAACGCAGUAAAUAAUGCUAUAGGCGUAA
Long non-coding RNA from Bombus huntii, 3601 nucleotides. RefSeq lists it as uncharacterized. Lineage: Eukaryota; Metazoa; Arthropoda; Insecta; Hymenoptera; Apidae. The transcript has 2 exons. The record is from RefSeq and is a predicted model, not a curated record.